This is a long non-coding RNA of Gallus gallus (chicken), 17664 nucleotides long. The record is from Ensembl. NCBI's taxonomy places the organism in Eukaryota, Metazoa, Chordata, Aves, Galliformes, Phasianidae.
CAGAGUUUACUUUAUUGUCUGAAGAGGAAAAUCCUGUCUGGAAACCAUUUCUUCCUAGCACUGCCUGCACUGCACGCUCUCCCCUUCAAAACACAUCUUGAGAAAAAUUUGACAAAGAGUUCUUCUUACACAAGUUACAUGGAUGUUGCUGUGCUACAAGAAAAAUACUUAUUUGGAGACAGACUGCAUCCAUUGUCUGUUGUGACUCAGUAAAGAUUGUAUCCGGCAUUCAAAAGAGACCCUGAGCAGGCAGAGACUAAUUAAGAAGAAAGGGAAGGAUUAUAGUUACGUGUAAAUGAUACCCCAAAAAGGAAAUGGUAUCAAUAAUGUAGUAGUAAAAUACUUGAAAGGAAAUGGAUUUUUGAUGAAGUCAGUUUUUCAAAGUCUUUCUCUAGAAAAGAGAAUAAUGCUUUUAAAUUGCUAUUCAUGCUGACCGCUACUACUUGUUAACAUUUUGCCCUUGGGAGAAAAUACAGCUUAGUAGUACAAGGGCUCUAUAAUAAGCAUCUUUAUCUCCUUGGGAUUCUCAGGCCCUUUGUUAUUUUUUUCCUCUGGAGUCGUACUGUAAACUGCAUACCACUUGGGCUGAUUCACACAGGCCUUGGGAGGAGGAUGCGGAAGAGUAGGCUGCUUUCUCAUGAGAAGUUCAACGUGGUAAAAUUCCUCUUCCAUUUCAGCAGCUCCUAAAGCCAUUUUGCACCCAGCUUGACCUGACAGAUGCAACUCUUCUGCUCUCUCUCCUUAAUUUGUUUGCAUUUGGCUCAGGUUCACAGGCUUUUGGAGUGCAUGACUGCUUUCCUAGUGGAUCUGUAAAAAAAGUCUGUGCCUGCUUAAAUAACAGUAUGAGAAUGAUAGAGUGGAUGCUCCUUGGAAGCAGCAGAAAGGGACAGACAAGCUGACAGCCAGCAUUCCUGUCCUGCCAGCUUGAAGGAUGUUGCCCACAGCCACUUACCAUAUGUUUGGCUCCAAACUGUGGAGCAGGCAAGUCAGAACGAUGCACAGAAUUCAGAUGAUUUGCUUUCUGUCUCUCAAGAGAGACAGGGAGCUCUGAAGCUUGCAGGCAUCACCUGCAUUCCUUAGCUUUCCUUCCAAAAGUCACACAUCAGAGGAGUAGGAACAGGAGGUUUCAUCUUAAGUGCUCUCAAAAGUAUCUGGUGGACAAAUGCCACAAGAGUCUCUAUUCUAAGCUGCCUUCAGGUAUAUUACCACUCUUUGAAUUUGCUACCAGGAUGAGAGGUAAUGGUUUCAAGUUGCACCAGGUUCAGGUUGGAUAUUAAAAAAAAAAAUUAUUCUCUGAGUGUUCAAGUAUUAGAACAGGCUGCCCAGGGAAGUGGUGGAGUCACUGUUCCUGGAGGUGCUCAAGAAAUGUGCAGAUGUGGCACUGCGAGAUGUGGUUAGUGGGGAUGGAAGUGAUGGGCUGAUGGUUGGACUAGACGAUCUUAAGAUUUUCCAACCUUAAGGAUUCUAUGAUUCUGUGAACCUGUUCAUCUCAAGCAAAGUAAAAGGAAUACGCUUCAUAACUGCAUACAUACAUGUAUAUUUACUGAACAUUAUGGAGUACAGUUCAGAAAUCUGUGACUUGUGCUAGAUAUGGUAAAAAUCUACAGUACAGCAAAGUGACCAUUGGGAAAACCACUGGGAUCAGAAAGCACCACAACUUUCUUUAGCAAAAGCUAACUGAUUCUCACUGUUUCUCAUUUGUGUAAAAGAGAUAGGGGAUGGUGUCUUCAUUUCUUCACUGUCCUUCCAUGUUGGAGGUGGUCUGAGGAAUCUUCAGCAACAGCACAGAAUCCUGAACUAUACCAAAUAAAGAUUGUACCCAGCGAACAACUUUAUGCCUUUGCCACAAGAGCCAAUGUAGUAUAUAAAUCUACAAAUAGACCAAUCAACAUUUUUUAUGAUGCUCAUUAAGAACUUUCCUUUGGCCUCUACAUCAGUUUGUGCACGACUUCAUCUUCCACUUUGCGUGUACGCAGGUCUAAAUGCCAGGGCAAAAAAAAAAAAAAAAAGAAAGUAUAUAAUGCCGAGAAUAAUUGAGAACACCAGAGAUGGAUAAGAAAAGAAGAAAUCAGGGGUCAUUCUACACAUCUUAUUCCAGCACAGACAUAGGUUUCUGCACAUGGGGAAGGUGAAGGGAAAUGGAGGCUAGCUAGGAUCUGUAGAGAGCCUGAGCUUUGGCUCAGUACACUCACUGUCAGUACACUCACUGAGCCACUGACAUACUAACCAAAGAUGCUCAGAGCAAGGUCAAGCCAUGCUCCCAGAGAACAGCGCUCACCUAAACUAGAUGCACAUGAGAAAUGUCAAUUCUAAGCCAAUCUACACAAACAAGUGAUCUGCUAUUUCUGGCAAACUAGUUCCAUGUACCAGUACUAUCACUACUCUGACGUGCUGAUAGUAUGUGCUUUUCUAAAGCACUUCUGCAGCACUGUUGAUUGCUACAAACAUGCAUAUAUUUUGGUUACUUACAUGUGACCUUAGAGAGUUCGUUAGUGGAAGAAGUUGAGGUUUGAAGAGAGAUAUGCCUGAAGCAGACUGUCAUUGGAUGAAUGCUCCGUUUCAUAGGUCAGGGAGCAAAACAAGAUGAAAUUAGCUAAAGGGAACCUAGAAAGGAGAAGAUAUAACACUGGAGUUGUGUUCUUUAUGACUUUGUUAUGGCAUAUGAGAACUACAUGAAAUGCUUUUUUUCUGUUUUUGAAGGGAUGCUUUUCCUGUUUAACUUCUCAUGAUACAAAUCUAUUUAUAGACGUGGGUGACAAUAACGUUUAUACAUAUAUACAACCACCUAAUUAAUUGCAAGCAAUUUAUAUAGUCUAACAAGCACCUGGACCUCUGACUUGACAGCUUGCUAUUUUUAUUUUAUUUUUAACAAUUAGAUGUAAAAUUUUACUUCAAAAGCUGCAAUAACAUGCUGUCUACACAGAAUUAUUAAGGUUAUACAAAGUUACUAGUUUACAAAAUUUCUUCGUCGACAGAGUAGAGGCUUUUAACAAUUAAGUGGCUGUGAUUGUUCAAAGGGGAUUUCUUAGGGAAUGUAAAAUAUCCAAUUUUGUUUUUCUUAUGUCUAAAAUUUCACUCUACACACUUUCUCCUGAAUGGUUAUUAGGCUUUCUUCUGGGCAUCACAUUCAGUGGGACAUAGGUAUGAUAUUGUGCUGUGACAAAAUGCUAUGUACUGGAGAGUUGUUUAGACCCCAAUAGAUUGUUAUUUCUAACCACUAUUUCAUUUUGCUUCAGAAAAAUGAUAAACAGGCUGAGAAACAUCAAGGAGAAACAAGAAAGAUGAUCAAGAAAUGAAAAGGGAGAUGAACAAACUUGUUCAUAAUCGGCGUAGCCAUCAUCCACACUUAUGACUUUGAGCAACAAAUAAAACUAAGAUCUAGCUUUUGUAAGCAGUGCAAAAUUUGCAAUCCCUUUCAAAUCAGAGAAAUAGUAUGUUAAUACUAAGGGAAAGACCAAGAGUCCAAGUAUUCCCAAAGUAAAAAUCAAAUAUUCUGGAGCCAUGUGAAUAAAUAAAAAGAAAAAGAAAAAAGAAAAAGAAAAAAAGAAAACAGCAGCAAAAGUCAUCUUAAAAAUAGGACAAAGACCUUUGACAAGCAACUGUUAAUAUAUGGAAAAGAAAUAAAUCUUGAACAUACCACAUUCUGUGAUCUAGAAGACUAAAAUAACAUUUGGAGAGUCAUGAAUCAAUGUGAAACAUUUCAAAAUUGUUGGCUUUCCCCCAAACAUAUCCCAAACGACAUAUUGUGGGAAUAUUCUUUGCACAAAAUAUUCUAGCUGUCAUACAGUUGGUAGCUUCCCAUGAAGCUGUAGUUCAAAUAUUACUGUAAAUACAGUAUGUUUAACAAAUUUAUUUUAAAAAAAUCUCCUUCAAGAAUACAAAGACAACAUUCUGUAAGAAUACUCAAAAGCAGCUGACCCUGCUUUUUUGAGGUUUAGAAGACCAGAUGUACAUGUGUACAACAGCACCUCAAACUUGAAUAUACAUCUGCCAAAACCAGCAUCAUCCUCACUGAAGCAGAUUCUAGUGCUUUUUUUGGGGGGGUAAAUACUUUUUAAAGCAAAGACGCAUUAACCAGCAAACUUUACUAACAUCAGAUGCUUUCUUUUAUGUAACAUGAAAUGCACUGAUUGUCUUUGAAAUCUCUCCUAUUUUCCUUCAAUGCACAGAUCCUCUAUCUACCCUCUCAUCCCUAUUUUUAAGCCUGUUUUUAAUUAUUUCUCUCUAAUCUUCCCCCCACAUACACAAACCACCCAUAUGCAGCAUGCAAAUCCACUAUGGUAAGCAUAUGUGAGGAAUUUGCCAGUGUUGAAUUUGCUGAAUCUUUAAAAGCAAUCAAAAUGAGCAAGUCUGGAGGCCUGAUGUCAGAAAAAGUAGUUGUACAAGUACACGCUAUUCACAAAAAUAAUUUCAAAUGUUGCAGAAUAGGUUCCCAGUCCAUUGAGGCAAAACAUAUGUUACUUCUGCUGCUGUCCAUCAUUUCAUGAAAGAGGCUGCCACUUUGGCUUAUGCUCAGUAAUACCUUACUCCCCAGGUAGUCCUAUUGAAAACUGUGAGACAACACAGCAAAUAGUCUUCUCAGUAUUAACAGCAGCAGCAAGCCUGUCCCAUUGUCAAUCAUCUAUAAUCUCUGCUUUUAUUUAAAACAGUAUGAAGAGCCGAUAUGUAUAGUGACUGUUUCCAGCCCUGGUGCAGUAGCCCAUUGGGCUGUAAAGGGAUUUAGUGCUACAAGUGCUGCAACAAAUCUUGUAACUGCCCAAUUACCACUUGAUGGCCACCACUCUCUGGCACCCUAGGGGCCACGUCAUUGAAGAUAAGCUCUGUUUAUGUUAACUUGGUGUCAGGAUGUACAGCAUAUGUCUAUGAAGCUGGAUGAGUGCCCUUUAGCAGGAUGUUCUGUACAUUCACAUUGUGCAGCCAAGAGCCCCGAAGGUGUUGAAAAAGAAGAAAAGGCCUUUCAUAGAAAGCUUAAUCCAAUUAAAGCAUAUUAAUGAAGGUUAGGAUCAUCUGUCACAUUAUCUAGACACAUCCUUUCAUGCAUCAUCAUCUGAUUACAAAGUCUGAUUUUCUUUUAAGGCUUUUCAUCUUCACCAAGAAAAUGUGAUGGGAAAUUCAACACUUAAAAUACAGAAGGCUUAGAUGGGAUUUCUAUUUCUUUCUUAUUUUUUUUCCUCUCCCUCUCCCUGAGAGAAAUAUGAUGCUUAUUUUAAAACAGUAGUAUGUCUCAACCACUGGUACAAACUGGCAUGUAUCUAGCACAGCCUAGAGAGCUACCCUAAGUAACACCUCUCAGAUUUUUGUUUGAGGGAAUCCAAAAUCUUAACACAGAAAAGUAAACGAAGGAGAGAGAGAGAGAGAGAGAGAGAGAGAGAGAGAGAGAGAGAGAGAGAGAGAAGGACUGAAACAUGAUACACUGCAAAUGAAUAAAGGAUUUGGGGCUCUGUUGCUGCAAGAGUUGUAUCAGGCUAGAUUUCUCUGAUAGCAAUGAGUGCACCUUCCCAUCAUCACCAUGUUAAACAAUUUGAACAGCUAUAAGGGAAAGGUCUGCCUCCUUGAUCAGAAAAGAGGGAAAAGGCAUAUUGGAUACAACACUCUUCGUGAUGCUACAGCAAGGCAGAGACAAGAAGAUGAGAGAUUGCACAGCAACUGAGAAAUUUCUCUGUUCAGGAGCACCUGUGGACACAGUGAAAUGGCACUACCUUGCACCAUGCUCCUCAGAGCAGUUGAAGACUACAAAUCCCUGUGCUAAAAAGACUAACUCUAGUACGAGCAGGGGCCCAGUUUCCAAAACUUGUGCAACAUGUAAAUCCAUUAAAGAUCAUCAUGAUGAGGAUCCCAUUAAAGAGAAAAAAAUUAAAAAAAAUAAAACAGGAAAUUCAAUAAUAACACAAUAAUGCCUUCAAAAUAAGUGUCAGUCUCAGCAUCACCCCAUGAUGCAACUAUAACGAUUUCUGCCUCUUAGCCCUUCAGAUGGUCACAGCUCAUGCUCUGCAGAGAACUCUGGUCUCGUAACACAGCUGGUAUGAACAUAUUUUUGCACCCCCUACCCAUGUAAGUGCAAAUGCCAGUUCCUCAUGUCAUCUGGCAGUGAAUCCACUUAGGUUAACCUUGCAUGUAAGUCCUAUUACCUAAGGAAUCACCCUCAGGAGGUGUUCUGCAUCCUUGCACUCCCUUUCCAUACACUACAGAGAGAAAAUAGAGAGUAUUACAACGAUCCCAUCCCUCUCCCUCGACCUUCAGCUGGCCUUUGUGUCUUUUUGGAUUUGGAGCUGCUGCUUCAGGCUGCAUGGAGGCUCAGGCAGGCAAGAUAAUACGUAUAUUUUUUGCUUUUCCUUGCAACAGGGAUAGUGUUUGUUUUGGGUUUUUUUUUAUGUUUGUUUUUGUUGUUAUAGUUUUUUUGCUUAGUUUCUGAAGAAAUCACGAAAUGCCACAUGAGUAUUGUGCCCACUGUUGGCUUAGUCCAAUUGCUGUUGUCACUCUCUAAGCACAUAUGCUGAAAUUUGUGCAAUCUGUCCUCUGAUAUUUACAGUACUGAGUCCGAAACAAAAAGGCAAGCAGCCAGACCUGCUGGGCCUCUGACAGAAUUACUGAAAGGCUAGAAGGAUUAAUGAAAUAGGUAGGGGAGAAUUUGCUCAUUAGCAUUCAAGGAACAUCUAGAGCCUAGAAGGAAUGUUAGGUUUUUACCAGAUAUCUUCUCUGGGGUUUAUUAAGCUAGCUGUAUACUUCAAGCAAAGAAAGCAAUGAAGUGUGCAAUUUCUCAGCUACAUUUAACGUAUUAUUGAGGAGCAUGCCCUGCUGAGGACUACAUACUUUUGUGAAAAUUCAACAUGAAAUUUGAGAGAACAGGCCUCAUCUUACAUUAAUUUGAUAUCUCACAAGCCUUGAAAUUCACGUUAUUUAAAACAAAAGCCAAAACCAACUUAUCUCAGCCUUGCUCCCUGAAGCAUGGUGAAGGGACCUGCCUCCAAUUUUCAAAGUUAAAACAUGAGAGUACUUUCGGGUAGGAAGAUAUUUACUAGACUGGUUGAUGAAAAGCUAAAAUGUAAGAAGAGAUAUGAAGCAAAUUGUGUUGUUUCUACCUUCUUCCUACUUCUCAUAUGUCAAGCUAGAGAGAAUACUGCUGCUGUACCAUGAGACCAUUGUGCACACAGAUGCCAUCUCAAUUAAACCACCACCCACUAAUCUACUGUGGACAAACAUUUGCCUGUAAGCAGAUGAAACUCCUACAGCUGAUUAAGCAACUGGAUCACCCUAUAAAGCUUAAUCCACUUUUCCAAAGCACUGCCUUCCUUUUUCAUGUUUCAUGUCCAGCCUGAGGUCAAAAUCACUAUCAACUUGCCCCCCAGAGCACUUGGGCGCAAGGUACAAAUACUUAGCAUGUCAAGGUCAGCCUAAUUUAACAUUCAAUAUACAGUACACUGAUAGACAUCAAGGAAUCUAUGGGCAACUUGUUAUAUACAUUUUCUCUAUAGUUGAGAUCAGUGACAAUUGAGCAACAACAAAAUUAUUUCACUAUUGGCAGUUAGUUAUUCUGCAGGGAUGCACACAUGCUCUGUUAAGGCCUUCAGUGAUAAGUCAAUGUCUUGAUGCACAACCUUACAUUAGCAUUCAUUUAGAAAAUAUAGAUUUAGUACAAGUGUGCCCCACUCAACUUGUGGAUUCAGAAAGCCUUAAACUUUGGAAAAGUUUGCAUCCUAUUAUAAUCCCUUUCUAGUGUUAUCCUGUUUCCACUUAUCACUAGUCACAUUAAUCACUGCACAAACUUAAUUGUUAAAUUGUCAUUUUAUGAAAGAAAAAGACUGCCCUUGUGACAGGCUUACAUUUUCAUGUACCCUGUUUUAUACCAGUAGUAGCAGACUUGACAAAGAGUAUGUGACCUGAUUUCCCAGAUGUCUGUAAAUGUACUUGGCAUUGAAUUUUAAAUCUGACUGAAUUCAAAGCUCUUCAUAUAAAACACAACUCAAGUUAACUUUUAUCUCUUUUCUUCUUUCUGUCUCUCAGCAGCUGUUCUUCUUUUAUUAUUUCAUGUGCUAUAUUCAAUAUGCAAAGUUUCCUUGUUUGUUAGAGUGCAUUACACUUUCUAAUGCAUCUGUCAUGUUGGAAAACAGGAAAGUAGCAUAAAGCCUCUCUUGUGAUUUCUUUUUUUUCUUUCUUUUUUCUUUUUUUUUUCUUUUUUUUUUUUUUUCAGUUAAUGGAAGGCUUAGCUAGAAGAGAAGGAAAAAAAAAAAACAAUGAAAGGAAAUUUGCCUCUAAGCAUCUACAGAGCUUAGAAAAGGGUUCUUCAGCUUUAUGAAACUUUAAAAAAGUAAAAUACCAGAGAAUUUAAUGCUUAUAAAUGACAAAACAUGAAUGGCUCUGGGAAUUCUCCUUAAAAGGAUGAUUUUGAAGCUAAGGCACAAGAUAGACAGCAGACCUGGAUUCUGUUCUACAUAUACCAGUGGUUUUAUUGGUUAACCUCUCAGGCUAUGCCAGUCCUGGGGAUAUUUAGAGAAACAAUCCACAUCAGCAUCUGAUCCAACACGGGAUCCUACAGAAGAGGUGUUUUAUAUAAAACAGCUCGACUUGCUUUCACUCUUUAGUUAAUUCUGCAAAAACUGAGCCAAAUCAAAUUCAUACAUAGCCCAGUCCUGCCUCAGAAGUCUUUUCCAACCUAAAGCUUCCUAGAAUAUAAAUCUUUUGAGCAGACAGAUGAGCACUGUUGGACCUAGGCAAUUCUUCCCCGUAGUCAGAAUUACUGGGUUCUGGGGGAAGUCCAGCCCAGGUGCCAUGAGAUUGCAAGUAGGCUAAUUCACCCCCCCUGAGCCCCAGCAGCAAAAGUUCCCUGACAGAUUUCUGUACUGACUCUGCACCACAUCUUAUAGUAUUCAGCAUCUCCACAGUACAUCGCACAGCACUGAGCAGCUUUCACAAAUAUCUACACUACAAGGCAUUCUCAGUGGUAAACAAAAUCAAACAACAUCAUCAACAGGAAUUUAGAUUAGCAUUAGGUAUAUCACUGGUUGUUGGAGCACACAUGAACUAUAUUCACACAUGAAUAGUUUACAUAUGUGUGUGUGUAUAUAUAUGGACUGCUAUGAACACAUAUUAAUUUUUUUGUACAUUUUUUAAAAACUUGCCUCAGUGUAAGUCAACUGCAAAAUGUUUUUUCUUCCUUUACAGUAAUAUUCACAGAGCUACACGUACUCAUUUCUACAAAUUACUGUUGCUUAUUUGGUAAGAGAAAAAUAACAACAGAAGGUAUCAUUAUUUUAAGCCAGAGAGCAUGUAACGCCAACUCACUCAAAAAUAUCCACUGUCACUGGAAGUAAACCAGAACACGCUAAACCUCAGUUCCAAGAGCACAUCUGCAACCAAAGCACAACACAAUUCCACAAGCAUGUGCUCACAAAAACACUCACAUCCUUGACCAAUGUUCUGGCAAGUUUUGCUUAUUCCUUCUGAUUUCAACAAAAUGUCACCAGGACCAAAUUCUCGGCAACUCCGUCUGGCGCCUCAGCCUGGGCUUCUACUGCAGGAGCCAGGCAACGUGCUGCAAAGUGCAGACCCAGAUUCUUUCACAGUGAUUUUUCAAAGACUGGAUCUUUGUUUUGCAGCAGUGAUAACAGAUCUAACAUUAUCAUCUCUGAAACAGAAUAUUUUUUCCACACAUCACUUCUUCAAGUCCAAAUAUUCCCAUUGGUUUCCAGAUUAUGCUUGAAUUUUUCCUCAGUUUCUUUGGGCAUCAACAAGAAAAACAGACUCUCCAGACUAGGUUACAACACAGAUGUUGUCUGACUUGAUUCAAAGUUUAGUGUUGACGGUACCUAGCGACACUUAGCAACUGAGCUACAAUUCUGGCCAGUCUCUGCACUGUGGUCUUACUCAACAAAUGGUAAUUCUGUUGAAACUGGGUCAGAGUGAGCUGUGUGCUAUAGCCCUCUGUGUGACUUGCCUUUUUUUUAAAGCACAGGGGAUUCUCAUCUCUGGGCCCAGUCAAGGCAUAUUCCCUCCAGGACCUGCUGAAAAGACAGCGGCCAAAGAGUCACACGUAGGCCAAAAGCACAACACAACUUUUAAACACACUGCAGCACCUUGGAAAGUCAAAAGGUGAACUUGGUACUCACCUCAUAAUUUCUUUUUUCUUGUUACCCGUCUGCUUGGUGUUUCACACUUUUACCUGCAUAUUCUGUAAAUAUUUUUUUUCAUUUCCCAAUCUAUCUACACAGUAACAUUUUUAAACAGUCUGAUGUCACAAUUUGAAAAGAUUUUUGAAUGCCUUAAAUUAUUUCAAAUCUCUAGUCACCUCUUAAAUUCAAGUCUGAAUGGCUCAAAACUAGAUCUACUGUUGGGAAGUGUGUGCUAAACGUGAUCUUAACUUUAACUAUAUGGUUGCCUGACCAAUAUUGCAGCAUAUCAAGAAGCUAUAGCAAGGACUAGAUUUCAGAGAGGCCAGCAUUCUGAGCUGGAAAUUCCUUGGGCAAUUAGGAUGGAAAUAGGCAAAAAAAAAAAAAAAAAAAAAAAAAAAAAAAGGCUGAGGAAAGGGAUGGAGUAAGUUUCAUUUCUCUUCUCAAGUGUCAAACAUGCUGUUCUCCACUGCAGAUAAAUACAUAUCUCUUUGUAGAAAGAUCAGCUAUAAUUUCUCCCCAGGAUCUGGAGGCGCUUAUAAAGACAGCAGGGAGCUCACCAGCUUUUAAUUCACUCUUUCAGUAUCAGAUUGGAGGGACCCACAUCCAAGCCCUCUCUUUGCCUAAGCGCAAGCACUAGAGAGUAACGAUUCUGACAAUGCUUUCUCCUUUAACAAAGAAAAUCAACUGGAAAAAGAAAACUCAAGAGUAAGCAUGCUUCCAUUUUCUAAGGCCAAAGUUGCUAGCUCUGUCUCAUGGGUCAUUUGUUGGCUUGUAAAACUAUUUUAUGAUUUUUGUGGCAAAAAGUAAGGUUAAAAAGAAGGGGAAAAUACAAGCUCCAAAUUAAUGUUCCUUGGAUUUUCCUUGGACAGUCCAGUCAGACUUUAAUGAAUAUAGAGAGAGAGCAAACAUUGACUGCAGCGAAGACUACCAUGAACAACUUUUCUCAUUCAGAUACAUCAUAAACAUUGGAUCUAUGUAAAGUGCCCAGUCCUUAAUCUACCAAAUAUUUAAUUAUUCAUGUGAAAGAGUAACCAUUUCAAUAGGAGUGGUUCAGCAAGCUCCAAGCUAAUGGCCACGAAUGGCCUUAUACCUGAGUUAUUCCAGACAAGGUAGGAGCUCAAAACCCCUCUAAGCAAAUAUUCAAACCACCAUUAAAGGGCUGGUUUUCUGCAAAGUCUCUCUGGGUGGUGUCCCUACUCAGACAUUAUCAAUAUGUCUCAGCAUCUUCCGAAUCAGGUCUGCCUGGUGCACUCUUGGAGGUAGAACAAAAUUACCCACCCCAGACCACAGUCUUCUGCCCAGGUCAGGCUACACUGAGAUUAAGUACUUUAGAGCAGUGUCAUGAUCAUCCUUCACUUUGUCUUGUGGGUUCCUCCUCUUCCUUGUACAGUAGUAGGAGAUGCACCAGGUGGACAAAGCUGAGACUGAAACUUGCUUGAAAACAACUCACACUAUGCUAGCCGUUAUGUGACUUUGCAGACCAUAACAUGAUCCUCAGGUCUGGUCUUAAGGUUUCCUUUUUUGUUCAAAGCCAUAUAAGGAAAAAAACAUAUCCUUCGCUCCCUGUGAUAUAUCAGCACCAGCAAGCAGCAAAGAGGGCAUAGAUAAAUACUAUACAGUUAGUUUGUGGGGCUGCUUAGGUUUGGGAAAAGCUGCUGUCACUACUGUGCAGGCAUUCACCUUGCAGCACAUCUUCUGCUGUUUAGAGAUCAUAACAGAACCACUAAAAAUAAUACAUAGGCUUCAGAACAAAAAGCAGUGCUUGAAACACAGUUUCAUAGGUUCUGCAGUAUAUUUUACAAAAAUUCUUUACAAAAUUAUGUUUUACCACUGAAGCACCAUCUUCUUCCAAAUUUCUGCUCAGGUCUGGGAGCAGGGAUAAGGGUUUACAUCUCCGUUAAUAUCCCAAACAUGGCAGCUCUAUGCCUGAGAGAACUGAAAAGGUGUAAACAGAAAUGCAAGAUUUUUAUUAAAAUAGUAGAGGUAGUAGAAAUCAAGUAAAGAAAGAGAGAUUGGAAGAGUGAAGAGUGGAAAGAAAGGUUGCAGGAGCAGAGAAGCGGGGAGAAUAUUUUAGAGGCAGAAGGGACGAUAGCUUCUUUCACGCAUCUGUCUAGAAAGUGAUGAGCAGAUGGAAGGUUUACAACAUGUGGCAUUUAAAGAGAAAGUCAAUGUUUAACAGGAGUUCUUCUGUCUUUUAGAAUAUUGAUUUUUGAAAAUAAACACCCUUUAAAGAGCAAUCACACAUGAAAAAAACUCAAAAGCAAGAUAGCUGAGGUUCUGGGUUUUAGCAUACUAAGCAGCUGUCUCAAAUGAGAUUGCCAGCUGCCACAAGUGCAGAUAUAUACCUUAAAGAGGUAGAAAUUGAGGAAUAGUUGUCCUCAGUUGUUCAGGUCAUAUGACUUUCAUAAUUUAACCUUAAAAAUCUGCAAUUCCCAUGGGUCAUGGGAACAUUACAUGCAUAGGAAAAUCCAGUAUGAGGUUUACUUAUCAGGGCUACAGGCAGGAAGUGGUCUCUAAUAUUCUCUACUUAGGAUCUGAUGAAGCUGAAAUCAGCAGGACAUCCUAUAGUGAUGUUCAGACAAGAAGUGCACCAGCCACAAAAAACAUUCCAUGCCUCCUGCCCUAUCACACUGCAGGCAUGGAGCGCAUGCCACUUCUCUGUAGCACUUGUGUGCCUACAUUUCAUGCCUUUCUCCUGAGAGACAAAUUAAACAGAACUGCCAAAAGCUGUCAUCCAGGAAGAAGUGUGUGUAGGGUGCUUCAUAGCUCAUCUGUGCUUACAACAGUUCUCUAGGCUGCAAUGGUUGCUCUCUUAAUAGUGUGAAUGAACAUACAUGUAAGUAUUUCUCAGAUCAAGGCACAGAAGAAACACAGUACAGUUUUUUACACAGUACUAUUUUUACAGGAAAAUACAUGUUUUUAUAUUUUUCAGAUGUUACUGAUUUCAUAAUACAGAGGAACAGUUUAGAAAAAGUUUCAGUCCUCUGCAGAAUAUAAUGGUGAAUUUGAUCUCUGAAAUUUCCAAACGAUGCACCAAAUACUUAUUCAAGCCUGUUAAAUGUUGGGACUAUGACCAGAGUUGGUACUCUUUUCCCAAAAAAAGAGGAUUUUGCUGCCAUCUUGGAAAUGAAUUCUAUGAUAUUUUCAAAAUAGUUUCAGCCCUCUUUUUUCCCACACUGAUAUUUAAACUGAGUGCUGUCUCUACACAUGAAGCCAGUGUGGCCUAAACCACCACACAUUAAUAAGCGGAUAAUAAGGAGUGAUAUCUCAGAAACACUUUCCCUUUCAGAGGGGAAAUUUCUUCUUUUGCUCCUUUCCUUAAUCUGAAGGAUAUGCUUCUUAGAAAUUGAAAAAAAACCAUGUGUAUGGAAAAAUAAAACAGGAAACUUGGACACAACAGAAGGUCAUCUUUAAAAAACUCUUAAAUUCCAUGCUAUAGGAGGUCAACCAGUGUUAUUCACCCUUGUGUCUGGUUACAAACCUAAAGUUGGUUCAGAAAACUGUUAUAAACAUAUUUCAACAUGCGCUUGGAAGGAAAAUUAAAUGAAACCUGUGCCAUGCAGCCAAAACCAUAAAUUAAAUCCUAAACAUUCAUGCCCUAAAAGAGUCAACAACCUCAGUCCAGAUAAAGGCUAGUUUAUUUUAUACACUCUGAGAGUUACUCAGAUGUCCUAAAUUCCAUCUAAGCCCCUGAGCAUGGUGUUUCCUUUUGACUAAAUGUUUUUGAAAGCCUGAAGCUAGCCAAGAGAAAACACCAAGCACAAAGACUCGCGGAAUUCUGGCUGCAUUAAUAAGCCCUAAACGAUAAAGGUCUUUUCCCUGCCAAAAUUCUUCCCCUGAGUAAAGCUACCUUACCCAAAGCCACUGCCAAGAGGUUCAAUAUCUCCGAGUGGAAAGGAAUUAUUAAAAAAUAGGAGGACUGACAGUCAUCCCACAAGGUCUCAGGCUUUCCUUACAAAUAAAGGAAACAAAUCCUUGCCGAGUACAGUGUACAAAAGCCAGCAGUGUAUAGUUCAGCGGAGCAAGGAGUACUGUUUAUUCACAAGUUGCGAGUACAUAUCCCCAAAAGAACUGCAUGAUGAGGAGUAUAUGAACUUGAGUCAGCUGAACUGUUUCUUUCUACUUAGCAACUUGUGUUCUAUGUAAUUUCUUGAAUUUUAAAAUCUUUCUUUGAAAAGUGACGUGGAACUAACAGAGUAGCUGCAGAACACUGCUGCUAUGUACCUGGUUCAUUGCACAGGCCACUGUAGAAAGCAUGUGAUGAGAAACAGACCCUCUAUCUCUAAAACAUAAGAAAAGAAAAAUAAAAAAGCCAGAAUCACUCGGUGAUAACUACGGAUAGUUUAGCACUACGAGCCAUUUCUGAAGAUCAUUUGAGCAAGCUACAAAAACUCAGCACUGCAGCCAAAGAAGCUAUCUGCAGAAUGCUGGGCAAAGAAUUUCUUUCUGAUUUCUUUCAGUGUUCCUCAGCAGCUGGCCACAUACAGGGCAGCUUACUCUGAAGCUGAUUUCCUUCUAUGCACGUAUUUAGAGAACUCGAUUCGCUAAAUACAGAUGUUUGACAUUUUUUAUUGCAACGUAUCAUCUAGUUUUAUAGUAUUAAAAACAAUGCUAAAAUCUCCUCAUUAAUUUCACUACGUGUUCUACUCUCCCCCUCCUCCUCUCCUAAUGGCCUGGAGCUAUGAACAGGCUGUUGUUCGACACUACAGGGUAUGAAUGGCCAGUUAGUAUUCAAAGCUAGUGCAGACACUGGUUGUUUGGCACCCCUGAAUUUAUGCCCAUCUGUCAACGUGGUUUUGUUCCCACUCAAACAGUCAUACGUCAGUUGCAAGAGUACUGGCACCAGGUGUAAGUCUAGAGUAGACACUGCUAGAUUGUAAAGAAAAGUUUUGCUUUGCAAGAAGCUUCUAUGAUAGCAAGUAAUCAAAACAUAUGGAGAUUACAGACUCAGAUUUGUUGACAUUUUGAGGCAUAAUGGCACAAACAAAUGCUUUUAUCCUUAAAAUGUUUCAUUUGUUGAGAAUUUACAUUUGAAAAGCCUAAUUAAAGGACAAUAUCGUCCCCAACAGAAAAUAAGCAACCUCUACAAACUCAGUGGAUAUCCUUUUGAAGUGAGCUGGAAAAUGUACCCUUACAUAAGACUUCAUUUUGUUAGUGGAAGGCUGGUGUUUCUUCCUCCUUUAAAUGAGCUAGAAGCAUUCAAAUAGGCAGAGGCUAAGGAAAGCUGUCCUGUGGGGAAAAAAAAAAAAAAAAAAAAAACGAAAAAGCAAGUUUUGCUUUUGGGGAUCAACAUUUUCUUUAUUCUGAACACAUUUCCUAUUCAGUAGCAAAAAGAAGGCUUACUCCUUUAACAAUAAGCAAUUUGAAACUUUUCUAAAAAUGUGAAUCACAUUUAGAGAUUAGGGACAUGAACACGUGUUUGUUAGGUACUCAGCGCAUUUGAAAGAUUGUCUAAGAGAUUCAGACUAAUAAGAAGCAUCCAAGUCUGAACUCUAACAGAAGUCUUAUUUCUGUCCCUCUCCAGUUAUUCAAGUAAGUAAACCUUCUCACUGCAUCCCACUACCAGGGGACUAGGGCUCUCUAAUGAGAAAAGGGUUGUCCCUUGAAUAUCCUGAGACACAAUGAAGGAGAAACUGAAGGCCAAUGGGACUUAGUUGAACUGUACAGAAAAAUGACAGAAAGAGAUAAAAAUUGGAAAGGUUGAAUGUAGCACACUCCAGUCAUGCCUUGGGUACACUGAAAGGAAAAGGUACACUGUUGUGUCAAAAGGACACAGGAAUUCAAAACAUACCUGACAGUUUGGCUCCACUAUUUGGAUCUCUCAUGAUCAGUGUAGCCCUGACUUAUGAAGUUGGUAUCUCCCACCAUUCCUUUAUGUCCAGUGGACCUUAAGAAGCAAUCAUUUAGGCAGUUGGUCUCACAGAAUUGAUUUAAUCUUUCUCCCCAUCUGUACUUUCUGAAACCUCCAGUUUUCUCACUCUAUCUAUUACAGUUAAUGGUAUUGAAAAUGUCAUUGGUAGCAAUGGAACAAAGAGAGCCUGGACCUCUUCACCUGAGAUCCCUCAAGGACAAUCUGUCUCUGCUUGUGCACGUUACUUGGACUUUGGGGAUGUGUGCUGCAAUAAACAGAUGUAGGACUCUUUUCCAGUAAAUUUUCAGAAAGACAAAGGGAGUAUUGGAGGAAUGCCCUCUUUGACAGCAGGGUGAUAAUAUGAGUAAGUGAAAGCAUCACUUUGGUAUUAGCUUAUACUCUCAAGCAGCAGGAUCUGGAUAGAAAACAUCACAUUUGCAAGAGAGUUUUGUUCAUGAAUAGGUACCAGGCAUAAAGGGAGACCCAAUAAAACUCAGUGCUAAAUGUGUAGGGAAAAUAUAAUGAGGAAACAUCUUUCUCCCCACAUCAAGGUAACUUGUAAGCUAACAAGUCAGAAACAGAUGUUUGGUAUCUCACUUUCAGAAUGAGCAGCUCCCUAAAACGAUUGCUGAGUUUUGUCAUCUUUAGUGUUCUGCUCAAAGCCAACCAUUUAGAGACAGAAAUAGUUAUGACAGUCGUAUGCAGGCUGGAGCUCCCAGCUAUGUUCUCUUGCCAGCAAUUAAAACACUAUGCUUUAUAUCCUUGUGACAAAAAGAAAUACAAAUCUUUUCUUGGCAUCUAUGUAGUUGCUAUUUUCAGACUUUUACAAGGGUUUUUGUACUGCUUAAGAAAACAGGAAAUGGAAAAAAUUCAAAUAGAAGUGUCAGGGUAAUCCCAUAACAUACCCCUUUCAUUCACAUGAUGCUCAGUUGCUGAGGGUCACCAAACUCAGUUAUGUUAACACAAAUUGAAGUCAUAUUGAGGUGCAAUUCCCAACUGUAGCUCACACAUUAAGAUGCCUUAACAAAAAUGUAGGCAGACCACGCUGGUGUUUGUUGAAAAGAGAAAGCAAGAGGGGGGGGGAGGGGAGGCAGAGAAUGUAAUUCCUUCACAGUAAGUGGAAGCAUUUCAGGAUGAAAUAGUACUAGCAGUACAUAUUAAAUUUCAUAACAGGAGUUCUCAGCUCAAAUAUCCUCUUUAGUCUUUGAUUUCAUAGCUGAGACUGGCAGAGCAAAACCACUAUGAGACCAGAUAAAUAUAAAAGUUUAACUUAUUUUAAAUUGGUUUUCCCUCUAGCAUUCAGCUCCAGACUCCCUGGAUUCCUUAAGUUCAGACACAUUCCUGUAUAUCUCACUUCAUGCAUCAGGGAAGCCACUUCUACCUUCUACAUUGCCAUAUCACCAUUUUUCAAAACUGCCUUGCAACUUGAGUUCUGUUAUCUUUUGGCCUCCUCCUCCAAAAUAAUAAUAAAUAAAAAAAAGUCCUCCUGAGUUUUCAGAGAAGGUUAAAAAAAAGAAAAAGUCAACUCCGUCUACUUUGCUCAUCAAUUAUCUCUAACAAGCUGGCAGACAAUUCUCAGCUUUAUCAUAAAACGUUCAGAGAGAGGUUCAAGGCUAGACAGACCUUUUGUCUUUUAUUGACCAUAUCCCCCUUUGAGAAUCCUCAGGUGCAAAUGCCAGAUGCUUUCCAGCUUUCUUUCCAACACAG